This 195-nucleotide ribosomal RNA is filed under the name uncultured Geobacter sp. Its description in RNAcentral is "partial 16S ribosomal RNA". It matches the Rfam family "Bacterial small subunit ribosomal RNA", at positions 338 to 524 of the family's 1533-position model. The record is from RNAcentral. Lineage: Bacteria; Pseudomonadati; Thermodesulfobacteriota; Desulfuromonadia; Geobacterales; Geobacteraceae.
CCUACGGGAGGCAGCAGUGGGGAAUUUUGCGCAAUGGGCGAAAGCCUGACGCAGCAACGCCGCGUGAGUGAUGAAGGCCUUCGGGUCGUAAAGCUCUGUCAGAGGGGAAGAACCACCACAAGGAUAAUACCCUUGUGGUCUGACGGUACCCUCAGAGGAAGCACCGGCUAACUCCGUGCCAGCAGCCGCGGUAAU